RNAcentral lists this long non-coding RNA (1628 nucleotides) under Homo sapiens (human). RNAcentral's name for it is "HSALNT0195382". The record is from RNAcentral. Lineage: Eukaryota; Metazoa; Chordata; Mammalia; Primates; Hominidae.
CAGCAGUGCAGACAGAGUUAACUUGAAGACUGAGCACCCCACUGGGUGUCCCAGAGACCCUCCUCUUGUCCUGACUUGUUGACUGGCCACCUUUUUUGGGUUUGUUAUAGUUUGUUUACCUUGGACUGUGCUUUCUCCCUGCAGUUUGCUGCCCUGGGCCUCUGGUUUGAAGUCAGCCGCCCAAUGGCCUCGACACCGUCACCUCGCCUCCAGCCACGGGCCAUGCUCCACACGCCACCGACACUUUGGCCAGGGGGAGGGGAGAGAUGGCUUAAUCAUUGCAGGCCAACACCCAGCCUGGAUCUGCCUGAUGGACAACAGUAUUGAUAGUCUAGCUGACCCUUGUUCGACAAGCUGACAUUCCCCGUAUUUCACAGGCCGACGCUGGACGUGCAUCAAAGAGACUGUCAGGUCACCAAACAGCUAAUUAAAGCAAUAAAGAGUCAGGAAGGCUAAAUGGCCCCUUUCCUCCUCAGGAGCCUAAGGUCCCUUGUAGGAACCUGCAUGGUUCCUUCUUCCCUGGAAGUGCAGUCCAAGAUGGAGAGGAUAUUGGGGAAUGUCCCAGCAAGCCCUCGGAUCAGAAAAAGGAUGAAGGUGGCUGGCUGUUAUAAUUCAUCAUGAACGCAUCUCACUCCAGGCCUGGCUCCCCUGACAGAAGGAACAGCCGGUCUUCAAAAGGUCAAAGGCAAUUUUCUCCUUUCGUCUUUCUCAGUUUCCAGCAUAGAUUUGUCACUCUGAGAAAGCAUGAAUUCUGGAUUUGAUGUACUUUAAUUGAUUUCACCCUCAACAAGUCAGACUGUCCAUCAGCUCUCUCCUUGGGCUUCCCUGAACUUUGCUUAAGGCUAAGGUUUUCAUCCGUCCCUGGAACCAAGCUGUCACCAAGCAAUUUACUCCCCAUACCAACUCUCAGGACCCAUCUCGUUUUCACUCCUGUAACUCUCCAGAGACAGAGGAAGAGAUAUGCAGGAGAGAUGGUAGAAAGGAAAAUUAAGGCAGAAAAAAAGAAUGGAUAAUGGAUGGAAAAUCCUUUUCCUUUACUGCCUUUUUGGGUGAAUUUGUCAGACUAUUUUCUACAAAUUGUUAAUGGGGUGAGAUCAUGGAGAAAAAUGGGUGGGUGGGUGAAUGAAUGGAUGAUGCUUUGAUAAAUUCAUGGGUGGAUGUACAAAUACACACACAGAUAAAUGUAUAAAUAAAUGAAAGAUACCAGGCACAAUCACCGAUAACUUGAUUCAUUAGCAGAUCUUAAAGUUUUUUAUCGAUUACUCGACAUAUGCCAGAAACAGUUACAGGUGCUGGAAGGAUGAGAAAGCAUAUGUAGUCCCUGUCACCAAAGAGCUCACACUCCAAGAAGGAAGGAGGGCAUGCAGCAAUAAGAAAUUGCAGGAUAGAUUAUAUUAAGGAUAUUUACAAUAUUGUGAGAAUAAAGGGGGAAGAGUGAGUUUCAGAGACACUGCAUGGAAACCCAGGAAAUAAUGAGUUUUAAGUGAAUAAAUUAAUGUAUGUCAAAGUAUUUUCUGGGAGUAGAAACCCAAGCUGCCUAUUCAAGACUGUUCCUAGGUCAAAUGAUAAAGCACAAUAUGUGGGUGCCCUGUGAGUUCUCUCUGUUUUCCCCUUACCCAUGUGAAGAG